GAUAUACUCACUCCGUUCCAUAAUUCUUGUCUCAAAUUUGACCAAAAAUGGAUGUAUCUAUUCUUAAAAGGUGUCUAGAUACAUGUAAUAUUUCGACAAGAAUUAUGGAAUCGGAGGGAGUACUUG
Brachypodium distachyon (stiff brome) is the source of this 126-nucleotide non-coding RNA. Lineage: Eukaryota; Viridiplantae; Streptophyta; Magnoliopsida; Poales; Poaceae. The record is from Rfam.